This is a long non-coding RNA of Carassius carassius (crucian carp), 708 nucleotides long. RefSeq lists it as uncharacterized. The record is from RefSeq and is a predicted model, not a curated record. The transcript is spliced from 6 exons. Lineage: Eukaryota; Metazoa; Chordata; Actinopteri; Cypriniformes; Cyprinidae.
CAUCCUUUUGAAUAUGUUAAAUCACUAUGAAAGCAUUUACUUUUCCUGCCAUUUAUUUCUUUAGCUUGAAAUAAUAAUGUAUAUUUCUUAUUUAAUAAGGUGUAAUCCUUCUGGAGCCACAAGAACUUUAAGCCAAGUCAAAAUGAAACACAAAAACAUUCUGCAAAAAGCUAACAGAAAGAAGACUGAAGCCUGUCUAACUGGCGGGGAGGCCACCACCACCUCCCCUCACCCCAUCUGAGGAGCUGGCUCUGUCCCUUAAUAAAGGGCGACCAGUGGUUGCUGGCAUUCCAGGGGGCAGUUCAUCACACAUACUAUGCACCACAAGUGAUGGUGAAAAAAGGGUGACAUGAUGAAGAUGAUGAUGACGAUGAAGAGACCACAUCUGCUGUGACAGAAGUGGACAAUGCUGGUAGAUCCACUGAGUACAUACCUAGGGAUUUGCCCACUGAUGAGGGUCCUUCAGCCUCAGCACACAAUCUAAGCAGGUUGCCAGCAAAGGAGCUGUAUAAGGUCCAUCUUCAAAGACAAAUAAGAAAAAGUGACAUGGAGAUGGACCUUAUACAGCUUCAAAUGGAAGAGAAAAGGCUCCUCAUUAAAAAAGCAGCACUUGAAAUAGAAUUACUUGAGAAUCGCCUUAAGGAAAUGAAGAAAUAAACUGCCUGGCAGACCAGUGCAAAAAAAACUAAUAAAAGUAAUUUUGACAAA